CUGGCGGCGUGCUUCAUACAUGCAAGUCGAACGAGAAGCUGACUUCGGUCAGUGGAAAGUGGCGGACGGGUGAGUAAUAUGUAGGAAAUCUGCCCUAGAGAGGGGGACAACAGAGGGAAACUUCUGCUAAUACCCCAUAUGAGCUUAGUUGAAAUACUAAUCUUGAAAACUCCGGUGCUCUAGGAUGAGCCUGCAUCUGAUUAGCUAGUUGGCGGUGUAAUGGACCACCAAGGCGACGAUCAGUAGCUGGUUUGAGAGGAUGAUCAGCCACAAUGGGACUGAGACACGGCCCAUACUCUUACGGGAGGCAGCAGUAGGGAAUUUUGCGCAAUGGGCGAAAGCCCUGACGCAGCAACGCCGCGUGAACGAUUAAGCCCUUCGGGGUGUAAAGUUCUGUCAGUAGGGACGAAACUUGACGGUACCUACAGAGGAAGCACCGGCUAACUCCGUGCCAGCCGCAGC
This 462-nucleotide ribosomal RNA is filed under the name uncultured bacterium. RNAcentral describes it as "bacterial SSU rRNA". It matches the Rfam family "Bacterial small subunit ribosomal RNA", at positions 36 to 518 of the family's 1533-position model. The record is from RNAcentral.